This 500-nucleotide ribosomal RNA is filed under the name uncultured bacterium. RNAcentral describes it as "partial 16S ribosomal RNA". It matches the Rfam family "Bacterial small subunit ribosomal RNA", at positions 30 to 523 of the family's 1533-position model. The record is from RNAcentral.
AUUGAACGCUGGCGGAAUGCUUUACACAUGCAAGUCGAACGGCAGCACGGACUUCGGUCUGGUGGCGAGUGGCGAACGGGUGAGUAAUGUAUCGGAACGUGCCCAGUCGUGGGGGAUAACGUAGUGAAAAUUACGCUAAUACCGCAUACGAUCUAUGGAUGAAAGCGGGGGAUCGCAAGACCUCGCGCGAUUGGAGCGGCCGAUAUCAGAUGAGGUAAUUGGUGGGGUAAAGGCCCACCAAGCCAACGAUCUGUAGCGGGUCUGAGAGGACGACCAGCCACACGGGAACUGGGACACGGUCCAGCCUCCUACGGGAGGCAGCAGUGGGGAAUUUUGGACAAUGGGCGAAAGCCUGAUCCAGCCAUUCCGCGUGCAGGAUGAAGGCCCUCGGGUUGUAAACUGCUUUUGUACAGAACGAAAAGGUUUCUACUAAUACUAGGAGCUCAUGACGGUACUGUAAGAAUAAGCACCGGCUAACUACGUGCCAGCAGCCGCGGUAA